RNAcentral lists this ribosomal RNA (253 nucleotides) under uncultured bacterium. RNAcentral describes it as "partial 16S ribosomal RNA". It matches the Rfam family "Bacterial small subunit ribosomal RNA", at positions 524 to 776 of the family's 1533-position model. The record is from RNAcentral.
UACGUAGGGGGCAAGCGUUGUCCGGAAUCAUUGGGCGUAAAGCGCGCGUAGGCGGCCUCAUAAGUCCGUUGUGAAAGUCAAAGGCUCAACCUUUGAAAGCCGAUGGAUACUGUGAGGCUAGAGUCCGGAAGAGGCGAGUGGAAUUCCUGGUGUAGCGGUGGAAUGCGCAGAUAUCAGGAGGAACACCGGUGGCGAAGGCGGCAUCCUGGACCAAUUCUGACGCUGAGGAGCGAAAGCCAGGGGAGCAAACGGG